Molecule: ribosomal RNA, 274 nt
Filed under: uncultured bacterium
Lineage: Bacteria
Description: partial 16S ribosomal RNA
Rfam family: Bacterial small subunit ribosomal RNA
Source: RNAcentral
AUACGGAGGGUGCAAGCGUUACUCGGAAUCACUGGGCGUAAAGCGCGCGCAGGCGGGUGAUAAAGUCAGAAGUGAAAGCCUACGGCUUAACCGUAGAACUGCUUCUGAAACUCAUCACCUAGAGUCUGGGCGAGGUAGCUGGAAUUAGUGGUGUAGGGGUAAAAUCCGCAGAGAUCACUAGGAAUACCAAAAGCGAAGGCAAGCUACUGGAACAGUACUGACGCUGAGGCGCGAAAGCGUGGGGAGCAAACAGGAGUAGAAACCCUAGUAGUCC